This is a small nucleolar RNA of Vulpes vulpes (red fox), 130 nucleotides long. NCBI's taxonomy places the organism in Eukaryota, Metazoa, Chordata, Mammalia, Carnivora, Canidae. The record is from Ensembl.
AGCCUCCUGGUGCUUACCAUAUGCUGUGUUCUUACACUGUACAGAAAGGGAAGGCAGAGUAAUUAAACCGACCCUUAUUCACCCCAACCUAGGCCCUUUGCCUGGUCUGUGUUAUGAAUGGGGGACCUGG